GCGGACGUGGCGGAAUUGGCAUACGCGUACGGCUUAGGACCGUAUCCCUAUGGGAUGAGAGUUCAAGUCUCUCCGUCCGCACCA
RNAcentral lists this transfer RNA (84 nucleotides) under Candidatus Omnitrophota bacterium. RNAcentral's name for it is "tRNA-Leu". It matches the Rfam family "tRNA". From Rfam's summary of the family: Transfer RNA (tRNA) molecules are approximately 80 nucleotides in length. Their secondary structure includes four short double-helical elements and three loops (D, anti-codon, and T loops). Further hydrogen bonds mediate the characteristic L-shaped molecular structure. tRNAs have two regions of fundamental functional importance: the anti-codon, which is responsible for specific mRNA codon recognition, and the 3' end, to which the tRNAs corresponding amino acid is attached (by aminoacyl-tRNA synthetases). tRNAs cope with the degeneracy of the genetic code in two manners: having more than one tRNA (with a specific anti-codon) for a particular amino acid; and 'wobble' base-pairing, i.e. permitting non-standard base-pairing at the 3rd anti-codon position. Lineage: Bacteria; Pseudomonadati; Candidatus Omnitrophota. The record is from RNAcentral. RNAcentral also lists the same sequence under 1 other name.